CCUACGGGAGGCUGCAGUGGGGAAUUUUGGACAAUGGGGGAAACCCUGAUCCAGCAAUGCCGCGUGAGUGAAGAAGGCCUUCGGGUUGUAAAGCUCUUUCAGUUGAGAAGAAAAGAUUGUGACUAAUAAUCAUAAUUAAUGACGGUAUCAACAGAAGAAGCACCGGCUAACUACGUGCCAGCAGCCGCGGUAAUACGUAGGGUGCGAGCGUUAAUCGGAAUUACUGGGCGUAAAGGGUGCGCAGGCGGUUAUGUAAGUCAGAUGUGAAAUCCCCGGGCUUAACCUGGGAAUUGCGUUUGAAACUACAUGACUAGAGUGUAACAGAGGGAAGUGGAAUUCCAUGUGUAGCAGUGAAAUGCGUAGAGAUAUGGAGGAACAUCGAUGGCGAAGGCAGCUUCCUGGGUUAACACUGACGCUCAUGCACGAAAGCGUGGGGAGCAAACAGGAUUAGAUACCCCAGUAGUC
Molecule: ribosomal RNA, 465 nt
Filed under: uncultured beta proteobacterium
Lineage: Bacteria; Pseudomonadati; Pseudomonadota; Betaproteobacteria
Description: bacterial SSU rRNA
Rfam family: Bacterial small subunit ribosomal RNA
Source: RNAcentral